RNAcentral lists this non-coding RNA (31 nucleotides) under Rattus norvegicus (Norway rat). Lineage: Eukaryota; Metazoa; Chordata; Mammalia; Rodentia; Muridae. The record is from RNAcentral.
UGAGAAUUCCACCAUGGUGCAAGCUCACUGA